GCAACUGCUUCGGUAAUUUGAUUAGAAGGGCGUCUUAGCUGGAAACGGCUAAGAGGAUCACUGGGUGAAUUGCUGGGAACCCCUAAAGCUUUCCUUGCCACAACGUAGCUGGAAACGGCAGGCGUGAUGGCUUGAAAAAAGGAAAGAUGCAACAAUGGGCAACCAGCAGCCAAGCUCCUGUCCCGAAAGGGUGGAGAAGGUUCAACGACUAGGACAUACCACCUAAGGCGAAACGCUAUGGUGAUGAAGUCCGUAGGGGAGGCGAAAUAGCCGAACCGAAGUGCCCAGCCCCUAACAGGUGAAGCUGAGGGUGAAGAGAUAGUCUACACAACGUUCGAAAGACGUUG
Molecule: non-coding RNA, 347 nt
Organism: Geobacillus sp. WCH70
Lineage: Bacteria; Bacillati; Bacillota; Bacilli; Caryophanales; Anoxybacillaceae
Source: Rfam